Molecule: ribosomal RNA, 253 nt
Filed under: uncultured bacterium
Lineage: Bacteria
Description: partial 16S ribosomal RNA
Rfam family: Bacterial small subunit ribosomal RNA
Source: RNAcentral
UACGGGGGGGGCUAGCGUUGUUCGGAAUUACUGGGCGUAAAGGGCGCGUAGGCGGCCGAUCAAGUCAGGCGUGAAAUUCCUGGGCUCAACCUGGGGGCUGCGCUUGAUACUGAUUGGCUUGAAUGCGGGAGAGGAUAAUGGAAUUCCCAGUGUAGAGGUGAAAUUCGUAGAUAUUGGGAAGAACACCGGUGGCGAAGGCGGCUAUCUGGCCCGUAAUUGACGCUGAGGCGCGAAAGCGUGGGGAGCAAACAGG